RNAcentral lists this ribosomal RNA (253 nucleotides) under uncultured bacterium. RNAcentral describes it as "partial 16S ribosomal RNA". It matches the Rfam family "Bacterial small subunit ribosomal RNA", at positions 524 to 776 of the family's 1533-position model. The record is from RNAcentral.
UACGUAGGCAGCAAGCGUUGUUCGGAGUUACUGGGCGUAAAGGGUGCGUAGGCGGCUUUUUAAGUCUGGUGUGAAAUCUCCCGGCUCAACUGGGAGGGUGCGCCGGAUACUGAGGGGCUAGAGUGUGGGAGAGGAAAGUGGAAUUCCCGGUGUAGUGGUGGAAUGCGUAGAUAUCGGGAGGAACACCAGUGGCGAAGGCGGUUGCCUGGAGCUUUGCUGACGCUGAGGCGCGAAAGCGUGGGGAGCGAUCCGG